GUAGGUGAACCUGCGGAAGGAUCAUUAAAGAAAUGCGGCGGAGGAGCCCCCCAAAGGGCCCCCGAGCCAACACGUUCUACCCUGUCUUUUUCGAUACCUCACCUCCUCCCCGGCACUCGUGCCGGGCUGGCUACUCAAAAAAACCCUGCAGUUUACAGUCAAAUUCAGUAACAACAAACAAAAAUCAAAACUUUCAACAAUGGAUCUCUUGGCUCUG
This 217-nucleotide unclassified non-coding RNA is filed under the name rhizosphere metagenome. RNAcentral's name for it is "partial ribosomal RNA internal transcribed spacer region". The record is from RNAcentral.